UACGACGCGAAGCGAGACCGCACCGUGAUUCUUUUACGCGACUAACAAUAAGUGCAUGUGACAGGAAUUAUAGUAGUUUACGUUUACGUGAGUAUUACUUCUGUAGUAACUUAUACGAACGAUAUCAUUGUAGUUACUAUAAAAUCUCCCGUUUAUGCAGAGGAAUUAUCGUAUCGUUCGUAUAAGUUACUACAGAAUUAAGUAACGUUCGCGUAAACGUAGUAUAGGUUAGAUUACCGGUUUCUUAUUUUACAUAAAACGCGAGAUUCACUUAUGUAUUGUGACGUGACAUAGUCACGUCCCCUGUCCAGACGAUAGCUCGACCGGGGGGAACGUCCGGGAUGUCGUCUCCGCCGGAGCGAGGCGGGGCGGCAGCGUUAGAAUUCGGUACCUUAUAUUAUUUUCGAGGAUUUUAGGUAUCGAGUAGAUGGCCAGGAGGAAAUUGUAACGACUUGAGUCGCGCCGAGGGAGUUUACGGGAGGCGUUCUACGUAGGAGUUGGCCGGCGGGCGGGUCACGAUUGGGCCCAUAUGCCGACGUUGCUUGGAGCGUCUCGCAGGGCGAGCGCAUCAGCCCCGAUGUUCGCCGGGAUGAAGCCUGCCGAAUCGCGAGAUCGCCACGGAGCAUUGCCUACCGGUCGACGGAGCCAUGGCCUGGCCAGCUUGGCCGUCAUACACCGGCACCAGAGUCGCGGCCCGGUCAGCCGGACUCGAGAAUAGGCUUUUCAAACCUGCCGCCGGCGAGCGAGGAAGCCACGAGGGGCGCCGACGGAAGCGGGAGGCGCUCGGCUCGCAUAGGGCUGAUCGGCAAGGAGGGCUUGCAAGCACGGCGCGCGCAGGCGCGGGCCCGACGUGAUCCCGCCGAGCUAGAGGAUCGUCACUGUCGUGUCGGCGUGGCAAGGGACGACAUCCCGAGAGGACCGGCAGCCGAGCUGCGGAAUUUGUAAGGCCACUACUCGAGUACCUCGUAACUCACGUUUGAGUACACGUAAGAUCAUUCUGACGGCCUGGGCCCUUCCGAGAGCCGCGUAGAUUGCGGGAAGCGUGCUUAGAGAAUCGCGUACUGUGUCGCGAAGUAUUUUGUAGCAUCGCGUUUGUGCAUAUGAGUAUUAUCGAGUAAAUAAUUAUUGAAUGGAAUACUGACGGAGGGCCCGGCCAACAGAGUAAUGUGGGAUCGCCCUGCCCGAAAAAUCGUACGCGGCCGACAGUCAUCGUGUGAUUCGUUGUAGUUUUCGUCGUGUCUUCGUGUUUCGUGUAAUAGCGUUUUGUGUAACCAUGGUGCGUAAUGUAGCGAGGUGUCCUUCGCGCCGAGGUGGACCGUAUUGUCGCAGAACGGGGGAGUAAUGUUUGCGCAAUCACGUCCCGGGGCGUGAGGCACCGGUCUUGGAUCUUUGGGGCUUUUCGCGGGAGGCCCGCGUCUAGCCAUUUUGGGACCAUUUGCGAGACGUCGCGGAUGGUCAUUUCGGGACCACCGACUGGGAACGAUUUGGCAGUUGGGAAGUCGUUGCGCGUAGGUAUUGUGUCUUUUCGGGACUACCAACUGGGAACGAUUUGGCAGUUGGGAAGUCGUUGCGCGUAGGUAUUGUGUCUUGCGUUCGUGUAAUCGCGUAUUGUAUAUUGCGGUCGUGUAACUGCGUCUUAUAAGUUGCGUCCUUAGACUAAUGUCCGCGUUAUUGUAUCUCAUAGUUCCCGCGUUCCGCAGAAAAAUAUCUGAGAGACAAAUUGUAAUUCACCGAUUCAGUCUGAAACAACUUGCUGAUUUAUUCUCACGUAAUCUUUUCUGUCAAAUACAUUAUUUUUGUAUUAUUGUUAUUUGCGUGUGUUAACUGUGCUACGUUCCCUUUCCUCCUCCGACCGCGAUUACCCGAAGAAACUCACACCUGAGAGAAUAGCGAUCUUGUGGAUCGUGGUGCGAGGAUUCGCACCUGGCACCCAACAUUUCGAGGAAUUUAGUCGAGCUACCAUCUGGGUUUCUGAGAGUCUUGUCGUGAUUGAUUUUUCGUAAAAUCUUUAGUGAACAAAGCGACGGCGCGCUCCUUCACGGCCGGCGAGACCGUGAGGACAUCGUCGUGGUCGUCACAGUAUGCAAGUUUAACGCCUAUUGAGUUAAUAUGAAAUAAUUUUCCUAAAUGUAAAAAUAACACAAUGUUAUAUAUGCGGUUUGGCGUGAAUAUAUAUCGCGACAAUAGCCGAGGUGAUCGAAGAAGUUGUGUAUAAUGUCCCAAUUCAACGGCCCCUGUUAUCAUUUCUCCUUUUGCAAAAUUUGAAAAACAGCAUGAUGUAUUGGUUGGUAUAACAAUGAAUUGCUGCCAGUUUUAGAUGUAUUAAACAGUAAGUGAUAUAAUCUUAACACGUUGAAUAAAAUGAAAUCAGGAUAUUCUGAUUGUACAAUACAUUUUUACUUUGUAGAGGAUGAUUACGUGGCUGUAUAUUGGAAGGACAAAUGGAUUAGAGGAUGCAUUGAACGUCCAGAUCCAUCGGGAGAGAGAAGCAUAGUACGAUUAUUCGAUCACGGUGGUUACUGGCAGUUUAGUAAUUCGUAAUGUAGGCCAUUGAUAUAUAAUUAUUUGAGCCUACCCUUGCUACCCUUCCAAGCCAUCGAAAUCUUUUUAGCAAAUAUUCAACCAAAGAACGGUAAAUGGUCGACAGAAGCUUACAAUGUGGUACAAAAUUGUUCCUCAAAGGGAGUUGCUGCUCAAGCUCAGUUUGAAGGUCGCAUUCAAACUAAUAUUUUUGCAAAUAUUUAUUUUAUGAUACAAAAUUAUGAGCUAAUUUCCCUUACUGAAGAACUGGUAACGAACGGACAUGCUGAACAAGUAGCAUGGGACCAGAGGAAGCCAGAAACAUUUGAAUCCAUCUGUAUACAUAAGACUUAUCAAGAAACAAUUCUACAAUUUUCACGCAUAAUCCGCGAUUUUUAGUUAGUAUGGACUAGAGUUUAAUACAAUCGCCAUUAAUGAUCCCCUUUAAUCGCGUCAAAAUUGAUUAUUUCGCUUUUUGAUUUUGUUCUUUACUCAUGUUGUAAAAUAUUUUUCCGAUUGUGUAGAAUAUUUAUAUUUAGAAAGAAAGAAAUUUAUAAAGAUUGCUAUAUUGAUCGUAGAGUAGAGAAAACAAUAACUUAACAUUUUACAAAGUAGUGUCACAUUUAAACUAGAACAUUUGUAUCGAAUUACUCAGACGAAUUAGGAAAUUUGUUUCUACGUGACUAAUAUCUAUUUCUGAUUGGGGACGAUUCGAGAACUCAUUAAAAUAUUUUAAUUUCUUUUCACAUUUAAUUUAGAUCACCGUAGAUUAAACUUGUUACUUAAAAAGUUAUUGUUAAAUGGCGAAUUUUAUUUAACAUCUCGUGUCAUCUUUUCACAUUAUUUAAAGGUUGCUAAUUCAUUUAAAGAUUCGUCUUUUGAACAUUAUUUUUCAGUAUUUGUAUUCCGCACUUCACUGUCAUGGCAUAAUAGUUAUU
Molecule: long non-coding RNA, 3458 nt
Organism: Temnothorax curvispinosus
Lineage: Eukaryota; Metazoa; Arthropoda; Insecta; Hymenoptera; Formicidae
Exons: 3
Source: RefSeq, a predicted model, not a curated record